UACGAAGGGGGCUAGCGUUGCUCGGAAUCACUGGGCGUAAAGCGCACGUAGGCGGAUUGUUAAGUCGGGGGUGAAAUCCUGGAGCUCAACUCCAGAACUGCCUUCGAUACUGGCGAUCUUGAGUCCGGGAGAGGUGAGUGGAACUCCGAGUGUAGAGGUGAAAUUCGUAGAUAUUCGGAAGAACACCAGUGGCGAAGGCGGCUCACUGGCCCGAUACUGACGCUGAUGCACGAAAGCGUGGGGAGCAAACAGG
Molecule: ribosomal RNA, 253 nt
Filed under: uncultured bacterium
Lineage: Bacteria
Description: partial 16S ribosomal RNA
Rfam family: Bacterial small subunit ribosomal RNA
Source: RNAcentral